This is a non-coding RNA of Momordica charantia (bitter melon), 2472 nucleotides long. The record is from RefSeq and is a predicted model, not a curated record. Lineage: Eukaryota; Viridiplantae; Streptophyta; Magnoliopsida; Cucurbitales; Cucurbitaceae.
CGUUGUGAACUGUGAUCUCUCUUUCUAUUUAUUCUUCUUCUUGGCCAACACUCCAAUUACUUCCUUCCGAAGCCAUUUCUGAUCAAAGCUUCGAAUUGGAGAGUUUUUUUUUUCAGUUUCCGAUCCACCACCACCAGGGCGAUAUUGGCCGAAGAUUUCGAUAACCAGAGUGCAGUCCGGCGGCCACGACCGGUGAAAAAGCUACUCCAAAUAUGGUCCCUUAAUCCUGUCCUGGAUGGGGAAGCAGGCCUGAAAUACAUGUUGAAAAAUGAAAAUAAUCAUUCGGGUGAUAUCACCGUGUCCGUGCUUCAGAAGCUUUGAUGGUUCGCUGAAGGUUUGGGAUUUGCGCCAAAUGAAAAAACCUCUCAAGGUGUUUGAUAUUCUCCCAUUAACUAUGCCCAAACAAAUAGUCCUGAUGAGCAACUCUUUCUGACUCGAAAAUCGGCCGAGAAAGAGAGCAAAACAGGUGGGAAUAUCCCAAAGUUGAAUCAGAGUUAGAUUUUGUCCGUCCAAGAAGCAUGUAUAAGAGAAAUGACACGAGCCGGACAUGGAACAAAACAAAAAACUCCUUCCAUAUAUAUGUCAAAGUUAGAUUUUGGCAAAUACCUUCUUCAUUUAGAAUCUGCCUGUAAGCAUUGGCUGAAGAAAUGCAAGCAGGGAGUAUAUAGGUCCUGAUAAACUGGAGCAAGAGCUAACUGCUUCAAAAACGUCCAUAUUAGUUUCAACCUAUCAGAGUUGCUGAAAGCCAGCUCUCCUUCUCACAGGUCAUCCUCCCUUGAGACAGGGUCUAACACUCUGCACUAUUCAGAUACGUUGUGACUUGUGAUUGACCUCUCAGAUGGCCUUUUCAUGUUCAUACAAAGGCAUAUUUGGAUUGUGCUAUCCUUAGAGAUGAAAUGGAAAUUUCGGCUGAUGUGCUCGCCACAGGUUUGCUUUUGAGGUUGCUGACCCAGAUCUUUAUCUGAUAAAUUUUUCCUUCGCCAGGACGGCUCAUGAGAGGUGCUAUGCAGUUGGCAUUUGCUUUAUAAUCAGGUCAGUUAGGAACAUUAACGAUCACAACCUGGCUGCAGAUUUUAUAUCAACGAAUGAAAUAGUACAGGCAGUUGUUUACUUUUACAAAGGUUUGGCAAAGUUCUCACGAUAGAUUUGUUUUAAGCCAGCCGGAUUUCAGAUUUGAUUUCAUCUCUCUCUUUGCAGGACAGGAUGAAUUGAUAGCUCUCGAGAAGGCACUAAAGGAUAGAAUACCAUGAUUCCUGCUGGAACUGCAAGAGAGGUGGAACUUAAGCUUUGAUAAUCGGGGGUACUCUGCUGCUGAGAUGGAUAGACUUAUCCCAAUUGCCAUAUUUAUGGUCAAAUUUGAUAAUGAGAAAUAAGGAAGUCGAUCUUUGGGAAAUUUUGUCCAGCUAAAUGAGGAAGAUUACUUAUCAAUUACAUUAUUGAUAUGAUGGAGGAGGUGGAGCAACUCAAGUUUGGCUGGGCUCUGGCAGGCAGGUCAGGCUGAAUUGAUAGCUCUUGAGAAGGCACUGAAGGGAUGCAAUUCUGUUUAUAUGCAAUUAGGGCAUAUUUGGAUGGCACUAUCCUAAGAGAAGAAUCCAACUUCUAAGGACGACUAGAACGUGGUAGAUUAUGUUGCCACAAAGAUAUAUUUCCUUCAAUCAUCCAGAUCAAGGGGUUUUUCACAAUUCAGUGGCCAAAACCUGGUUUUGAUCCUCAUUUGCAGACCUUGGAUAUGAAGAAKGGYUAAAUACAAAAGCAGAAUCAACACACAAGAAGCAAGUUAGCUAUGAAGCUCAAAAGGAUUGUGCAGCCCAGUCAAAUCCUAGGAAGAAAACUAUAGUCUUGGAAGAGUCUYAAACUCAACAAGAAAUGACCGAUGGAUGCUCAAUUGAGGAAGAUCAACACACUAAAUCAGAAACAAAACAUACUCAGCACGAUGCAACUGUGGGAGAAAAUGUCGUCAAUCACUCAGACAUACUUGCAGUUGAUUUAAGCCCACAAACUCAUCCACAAUUGAUCAAUUGACAACCUCAACCUUAUCAAAUGAAGAGCAACAUACACAAUUGAUCAAUUGACAACCUCAACCUUAUCAAAUGAAGAGCAACAUACAGUACCAUCUUCAACCAUUCUGAAUGCAUCACAUCCUAUGAUAACAAGGAGGAAGCUCUACAACAAUCCACAAUUGGAUCCUAAACUACAUCAAGAAUUACAAAGCACCAAGUCAAUAUCGUGCAGCCAAGCCUUGGUAGCUGAGCCAAAGAGCUUCAAAUCAGCACUCAAAAUUCCCCAAUUGGAAAAUGGCAAUGGAAGAAGAAAUGAAAGCACUCAAGGAAAAUCACACAUGGGAACUUGUCACUCCUCCUCCUAAUAUCAACAUUGUCGGCUCAAAAUGGAUCUUCAAAACAAAGUUGAAAGAAGAUGGAAGUGUUGAAAGAUACAAGGCCCGAUUAGUAGCUCAAGGCUACUCUCAAGUUG